AGACCGUCAGACGGUUACCGCGGCUGCUGGCACGGAGUUAGCCGGUGCUUCUUCUGUGAGUGAUGUCCUUCCUGCCGGCUAUUAACCCGCAGGCCUUCUUCCUCACUGAAAGUGCUUUACAACCCGAAGGCCUUCUUCACACACGCGGCAUGGCUGGAUCAGGGUUGCCCCCAUUGUCCAAUAUUCCCCACUGCUGCCUCCCGUAGGAGUCUGGGCCGUGUCUCAGUCCCAGUGUGGCUGAUCAUCCUCUCAGACCAGCUACGGAUCGUCGCCUUGGUGAGCCGUUACCUCACCAACCAGCUAAUCCGACAUAGGCUCAUCCGAUAGCGCGAGGCCCGAAGGUCCCCCGCUUUCCCCCGUAGGGCGUAUGCGGUAUUAGCCUGGGUUUCCCCAGGUUAUCCCCCAUACCGGGCAGAUUCCUAUGCAUUACUCACCCGUCCGCCGCUCGCCACCAGGGAGCAAGCUCCCCGUGCUGCCGCUCGACUUGCAUGUGUU
This 495-nucleotide ribosomal RNA is filed under the name uncultured bacterium. RNAcentral's name for it is "partial 16S ribosomal RNA". The record is from RNAcentral.